CCUACGGGAGGCUGCAGUGAGGAAUAUUGGUCAAUGGGCGCAAGCCUGAACCAGCCAAGUCGCGCGAGGGAUGACGGUCCUAUGGAUUGUAAACCUCUUUUGUCGGGGAGCAAGGCGCGCCACGUGUGGCGGGAAGGAGAGUACCCGAAGAAAAAGCAUCGGCUAACUCCGUGCCAGCAGCCGCGGUAAUACGGAGGAUGCGAGGGUUAUCCGGAUUUAUGGGGUUUAAGGGGUGCGUAGGCGGAAGGUUAAGUCAGAGGUCAAAUGGCGGGGCUCAACCCCGGCCUGCCGUUGAAACUGGUCUUCUUGAGUGAACGAGAAGUAUGCGGAAUGCGUGGUGUAGCGGUGAAAUGCAUAGAUAUCACGCAGAACUCCGAUUGCGAAGGCAGCAUACCGGCGUUCAACUGACGCUGAGGCACGAAAGCGUGGGGAUCGAACAGGAUUAGAUACCCGUGUAGUC
This 460-nucleotide ribosomal RNA is filed under the name uncultured bacterium. RNAcentral's name for it is "partial 16S ribosomal RNA". It matches the Rfam family "Bacterial small subunit ribosomal RNA", at positions 338 to 795 of the family's 1533-position model. The record is from RNAcentral.